RNAcentral lists this long non-coding RNA (7543 nucleotides) under Theobroma cacao (cacao). RNAcentral describes it as "long non-coding RNA (TCAC_LNC001896)". The record is from RNAcentral. Lineage: Eukaryota; Viridiplantae; Streptophyta; Magnoliopsida; Malvales; Malvaceae.
CCAAAGCAAGAACAAAGGAAGAAAAGAAAGAACAAGAACCCUAGGGUGAAAAUUCAAGAGAAAAUUGGUGGAUUUCAAGUAAUCAAGCAAUCAAAGGUAAAAUUUCUUGAUUUUGACUUGUGAUCUACCUUUCCCAUACAUUCUUUUGCAUUUUCCAUGGUUGAAUCACAUGAUUUCAUGAUGGGUAUCUUGCUGGCUGAACACUUAGAGAGAGGUUUUGAUGCUUGAUUUGGUUAGAUUUCAAUGUAUUUUAGUGUUUUUAGUUGAUUGGUGAUGUGUAGCAUGAAAAUCAAGCAAGAAAAAUUCAUGUUCUUCCAUCACCCAUCAUUGGCUGAAUUCUCCAUGUGGAAUAUUGAGGAUGAUUUUGAUUUUAUUUCAAGUGAUUUGGUUAGGAAUUAGUGAUUUAUGGUGUGAGAAUCAAGUAGGAAAAAUCAUAGUGUUGAUGCACCCACCAUGGCUGAAUUUUCCAAGAGAAAAUGUGAGGAUGAUUUUGCCAUAUUUCAAGUUAUUUAAUUUGUGUUUGAUGAUUUGGAGUAUUGGGAGAAAAAUGGAAUUAUUUGGAGUUAAAUUGGACAUAUUGGCCAAUUAAUCGGGUGAUAGAUCGAAUUAGGCCAAUAUCGUUUUAUUUAGGUACAUAAUUGAAUUUAUAUUGAACACCGUAUUUAGAUAGUUACCCAAGUAUUUCACAUCCCAUUUCAUGCAUUAGUAUAGAGCCUGAAUUGGUUUUAUAACAAUUUAGCACAAAUGUAGUAAAUGGCUUAUUGCGCAUUAUGUCUACGUGGUGAGCAUUAUGGCAAAAGUAAAGAGAUAGUACCCGAGGAUCAAGAAUCGGAGUACUCGAAAUUCGACUCACGAAAUAGUGAGUAACCUUACUAUCGUCUUAAUUAUCUAAAGUAGUUUUUAUUCAUUGUGAUUUUAUAGAAAAAUAUGUUUAAAUGGUAAAUCUUUAGGUUUUAUAAACAAAAUGUGUUUAAAUGAAAUGAUUUUAUAAAUUGUCUUGAAAUUUAAUGAUGGUUUUGAAAAUGGAGUAAUUGGAGACUAAUUGCUGUGUUAUAAAUCAUGGUUUGAAUGGAAUGGCUUAUGAUAAUAUUGGCAUGAAUGGUUGAAUUGGUAUUUGUGUUGAAAAUGCAUAAACUGUUGUUUGCCUUGAUAGGCUAGAUAAUAAUAAAAUUGCCAUGUCAUGCUAUUGAAUUUUACUGAAUUGGUGGGUUAUUGAUUAGUCGCUGCAGUGGACGGGUUUCGUAGACCAGCCUAUUAGAGGGGGCACGGUAACCCUAUUAUAUUCAUACCUCAGUAUAAGAGGCGCGGUUGGAUAACUCUUGAGGUUAACACUUUAGAGUUCACUUCACGCCAAACCACCACGUGAGGGUGAACUCAGCUAAUGCCAAGGAAUGACUAUGUUUUCAAAAUAAAAACAUGACUUAUGCGUACAUAACUUUUUAUCAGCCUUGGCGGACUCAGUUGGGAUAGCCCUCGACCAAGGUAUCCCUGAUAACUGAGUAUAAGAAUGAUUUUGGCAUGAGCCAAAGCUUUUAAUAAAUUCAUAAGCCAUGUUGAUUAUUCGAUUUAUAUGAAUUGAUUUUAUUUGGUUGAAACGAGUUGAAAGGUGAUGAAUUACAGUAUGUUAAACUAUUUUAUCUGUCUCCAUUGACUCAACUUUAGAUAUUUUAGAUGAUAUUUGUUUACUUACUGAGAUUAUAUAAUCUCACCACCCUCCUUUCCACCCAUUUCAGGCUCAUGAUAGUAGGUAAAUAGCUCACUUUGUUGAGGGCUACAGUUGGACUUGCAUCCCUAAAAACUGUAAGUUAACCGCUUUUGAUACUUUUGGUCGUUCGUGGGCCCACGUGUCACUGUAAAUUAAAUUUUAUACUUUGGUUAUCUGUAUUACAGUAUUUAUAAAUUUAUUUAGCUCUUACGCUACAAAAAUUAUAUACCGGUAACUCAUAUAUAUUGUUUUAUAAGAAAAUAGAAUAUUUUAUUGAAUAUUUUUAUUAUAUUUAAAUAGUUAAAAUUUUACUUUAAAUGAAUGUUUUAGAUAUCUAAACUUAUUUUUGAUUAUGAAAUAUGUGUUUUCCACUUACAUACUACAUUUUUAGCUAGUUUCGAGACUUUUGAGGAAAAAUGACCAAAAUGCCCCUGUGAGAAAAAAAUUAUUUUUCUAUUGUUUUGAUUUGGAAAUAGUUUAUAAUCUCUCAAAACAUGAAACUUAACAACUGUUGCUAACUACGGAGGUGUGAAAACUGAUAUUAAAGCCUUGCGGGGUUCCGGUUGACAUUUCAGGUAAUGAGUGCCGGUCGGGACACCGCGGCGGUUGUCACGGGCUCGAGGGGAGUAUUGGGUCAUGAGAAAUAACCUUAUUCAAGUCAAUCAUUUGAAAUAUUGAAUUAAAACAAUUUUACAUAAAGAAAAUUCCAUCGUCUAGAUCAAUUGACAUUUUACUCAAAUCAAAUCAAUAUAUUCGGUAAGCUCCCAUGAAAUCGAAUGUUAAUCAAACUCAUACAUAAAUCACAGAUCACCUCGCAUUAGAGGAGUUAAAAUUCAUUUCACCAUACAAAUAGAAGAGCGACAGAAAAAUUGUUAAAUUCCAUUUUCACCAUGCAAAGAAAUAUGAGUUUGAAAACCCAGAGAUGCUACUCUCGAGUAAGGAAUGAAAAUAAAACCCGUGGUCCCGUUACCACGUAAUACAUCUGAGAGCCUCGCUCCACCAGAUCCCACAUGCCAUGGUAGUCUCACGAUGUUGGCCGACAUCGGAGAAUCAAGCGAUAGCAACCGCGUAAUCAUUUGGUGGCCUAGCCACGCAUACAUAUAUCACAGGCCGUGGUCCCCACCACGCCUAACUGCCCGUUGACGACCCAACGGUUCUCUAGCUAUAGCUCACUCGUGUACGAGGGUCACAAUUAAUCGAUGUGACAUCCGACCUACUCUCGACGCCUUCAGUUUGUAAAACCAUUUUUGAAAUCGUUUUAUGUCCUUAAAAGCUCGUCUCAAAAUUAUUUCCAAAGCAUUCAACACAGGGUAUAAUAAAAUCUAUCAUUUUCUCAAAUAUAUUUAUACAUGGAUUUCAAAACAAUAAUUUGCAUGGUGAAUAAGCAAUAUAACUGUGAAUGCACACUGCACAAAUAUAAGGCACAAAUUUUGAUGUAAAACAGUGCGAAGGGCUUGUUUCCCGAUUUUCAAAACACUUUACCUAUAAUUUAUACAUAUAUAUUCAAAAUAAUUUUUGAAAAUAAUUUGCAGUCAUAAUUCCCUAAAAUUUCUACCAACACAUGCUAUCCACAAUUUUGCAUCUAAAUAAAAUAUACAUAUAUUUAUAUUAUUAUGAAAAUUUUAAAAUUGAGACCUCCUAUUCACCUCACAACAAUGGGAUGUUACUUCGUUAUUUCUACUUGUCGGUCACUCAUUAUUUCCUCCGACCUGCCUUCACAGUGCACUAUCUUUAUUUAUUUCUUUUGAAUCUUGCAACCCACUUGAUAUAUAUAUAUAUAAUUUUUUUAUUUAUUAUAUAUAUGUAUNNNNNNNNNNNNNNNNNNNNNAUAUAUAUAUAUAUAUAUAUAUAUAUUUUAUUUAUUAUAUAUAUGUAUAUAUAUAUAUAUAUAUAUAUAUAUAUUUCUAUCGCCACUUAGGCUCCCAUUUCUUUUCCUUCACCAAAUUGCUUUCUCACCAUAGUUGCAGCUCCCAUCCUUCCUCCUUCACUCUCAAAACCAGCAGCACAACCUUUUCUUUUGCCCUCACAUACCUAGCAACAAAACCCCUCAUUUCUGUCUCUAAAACCAGCAGCAACAACUCCUCUUUUCUCCCUCACAAACUUGAUAGCAAAAUCCCUCCUUUCUCUCUCUCAAACUAGCAGCAACAACUCCUCUUUUCUCCCUCACAAACUCAGCAGCACCAGCUUUUGCUUUCUCUCCCUUUUUCGUGCUCUCAGUUGCAAUAUUUCAAAGCUUUCUUUUCUUUUCCUUUUUUUUUCUUCUUCUUCUCGAGAUUUCUAACUCUUCAGAAUCUCUCUCUUCCUUUUUCUUCCCUCACAUGGUUGGCCCCCACCUUCAUUUUCCUUUCUUUACUUUCUCUAUUCUUUAUUAUUGUAUCCUAUCCUUCUCUCCCAUGAACUCAUGCCUUUCUUUGACUUUUCCUUGCCUUUCCCUCUUUCAUCUCUUGUAUAUCACUUGGCCGGCCCCUACCUCCUUCAUUUCAUUAAAAAUGAAUUUAGAUCCCUUUUUUUUUUAAUUCACACAUGGGUGGCUGCCCAUCACCUUUUACCAUUUUUUUUAUAUUGAUGUGCUGCCAUUCUUUUUGAGAGAAACCAACUUGCCUUGUCCCCAUCACUCUUUUUUUAUUUUCUUUUCAUUGCUUUACUCCAUUUCACUCCCAACUCUUUUUAUUUCUUUAUUAUUUUAUCAUUUAUUUUAUUUCUUUAAAAUAAUAAAAUUUACAUAUCAACUAUCAACUUCAUUUAUUUAUUACACCACCCUCCAACUUCCGUAUUUUAAAAUUAAAUCUUUUCGAUACGUUUAAAAAUUCUAAUUUUUAUCUAUCUCUUUCCUCUACACGCGUACAAUCAACAUAUCAAAAUUGUACUUCAACGCGGUGUCACCAUAAUAUUUUAAAUAUUUACUUACCCGCGUUAACUCGAUUUAAUAAAAUCACGUGGGCACAAUUAUGGCUUUUUUUUUUGAAAUUCUUUCUUAUUUCUUCUCCCCCACUUAGAUUAGUCAUAUAAUCCUUUUUCAUAACUAAUCGCAUUAAUAGAUAAAAUAUUAAUAUUUUAAUAUUAUUUUAUUUAUAAAAUAAUAUUUAUAUCUUAAAAUAUUUUUCUCACCUGUAAUUGCUUUUCGACGCUUAAUUUACAUCAAAUAACUCUUCGUUUUAUCGAUAAGGUUUUAUUAAUAGCUAAACGAGGUCAUGGGGUGUUACAUUUUUCGUUUGUCUUUGUUCAAUAAGGCAGAAAGGAACAAUUAUGUAAAGCAAACACAUAGAAACAAAGAAAAAAUGAAGCCAAUAACAUUGAAGUGACAAAAAGGCAUAUAACAAGAACUAAAUAUUCAAUAAAGUUGUAUAUAUUAAUAAAUCAGAAAAGGAUCAUAAAUACAUGAAACACAAUGGUUACAAAAAUAAAAAAUUGCACUAUUGAUUAACCCAAAAAAAGAUAAGCAUCAAACAAAUUAUAGGAAAUUGAUUACCUAUUUACAACCAUAUUUUUAAAGAAAAGAAUGAUAAAAUUGUUUUGGUGCGAUUACAGUAGAUCAAUGCAUAAAGACUUAUAAUGGUAGAAUAUAAAUGAAAAAAUAAAAAUAUACAUGAUAAUAAAUAAUUGAAAAUAAUAGGUAUUAUUUUCAUUGUAAAUAAAGUAAUGACAAUCCAUCAAAAGCACCGACAUUAACUGAACUAUUUAUUCAUGAAUCCAAUCAGAGAUCUGCAAAAGAACUAAGAAUGACAUGCUGGAAAAAAGGUAGGGGAAGGAGCUGAACAUUGUUUAUAGUUAAUGUUGUCAUCUACUGAAUGAUACAUGAAAAGAUAGAGAAAAUAUUUUCUUGAAAACAGAUGAAAGUGGAUAAGAAAAUGACAUCUCUACAAUUUGGAAUGAAUAACCAACAAAGGUGAUUCAUUUGAAGACAAAAACUAAAACUCCCUGGGAUGUAGGUUCCAUAGUCCAAGAGCCAUAUUUCCCUCAAUCAGAAUUUAGCAAUACCAUUAACAAUAGGCAAACCAUAAACAUAAAUGAACGAAGAUUGUUAAUCGGCAUGAGCAAAAGUUGUGAGCGGAGCAAUCUAAAAACACCUACCAAAACAAAUGAAUCAGCAAGAUUGAAAAAUUUUAGUCAAAGUAGACGCAGACUGACUUCUGCUUGACCAAGAAAAGAUUGUUUUAAAUCAACAGAAUUCAUAAACCCACAAUAAUUAGCAACAUUUAAGCCUUAACUUUUUAAGCUCCAAAUUUAGAUAAUGACAAAGUCAUAGGUACUUGAAUGCAUGCUAAAUAUUUCAACUUAAAAACACAUGCAACCUUUGGAAACUUAAGAAAAGAAAAAUAUAAGAAGGCAAAGAAACACUGUUGUUGGUGAGAGAAAACCUCUGGUCAACAAUGCCUGCAUGGAAAAAAGGCAAAGCAAAACAAAAUUGACACACGAAAAAAAAAACAUGCAUAAGAAGAAAAGAGUAAAAUAAAUUUAAAGAGGUUGAGAAUGCGAAAAGCAAAACCGGUUGUGGAGAGCAUUGCUGGCCAGAGAAUAUGGAUAAUAGAAACAGAGGGAAGGCGGACGUUCUGAGAAUAGCAAUGGUGGUGAGAAAACGUGGACAACAAUAACAAAAUGAAAACAGAGAAGCCUAUGUAGUUGUUAGAAAUUAAAAGAAGCAAAAUAAAACGAUAAGAGGAAAGAAAAUAUGUUAAAGCCCGAAAUUACCCUGACAUUUAAAAUAAGAAGACCAAAAUGACCCUGACAUGUUAAAGAAAUACAUAUUAUCUGUUGUUCUCAAUAAAUAUUUGGAGAAAAGUUCUCAAAGCCACGAAGACUUUUUGUUCUUUGUGUUUUUUACUUUAAAACUUUUGAUCAUUUCAGGUUUUCCAGGAUCCGUUUAAUAAUCAAAAUGAUAGGACAUGCAAUCUAAUAUACAAAGAUUUGCAAGUCAACUGAUGCCACUAUAUACCAAUCUAUUUAACAUAUAUGACCCAAAGGAUAUGAAACCGAAUUUUUGUAUUUGUUUUCUUUGGAGGCGACUUUGAUUGUAAAGAUGGAUUCAACUGUUACGAAACGGCUAACCAAGUUACGUGUUAACUAAAACUAUUAUUAUAUUCUACAUAAAAACUAAUAAAAUUUUUAAUCAAAUUAAUUACAUAGGUGUUUGAAUUAACUUAUUAAAGAGUUUUUUAUUACAAAAAUAGAAGUAAGGUGUUUGGCUUUUAAAAAGUUUUUAAACUUUUAAUUUAUGUGAGGAACCCGUUUGGGUUUUUAAGCAAAACUAUAAAUAAAUUAUUAUCAUUUUUAGAAUGUGCUAAUGUGUAAUAACAAAUAUCUAAUUACUUACUAAAACUUGAAGACCUUCCACUUCUUUGUCUUGGAAGAAAUUGUGAUUCCUGAUCUAUCUAUAUCAGCUUUGACACCAAGAACCAAAUUACGUCUUUAGCAACUUGGAUAGAAAUUAAACCUUGCUUGCAUUAGGGCUCGCUAUUUUCUUCCAAAUUUAGUGACCUUGCCAGUGCCUUAAAUGCAACAUCAGUCACAACCUUUAUCUUCGAAGCAUAUCCGUCCAUGAUGUCUCUACAAGGGAAUAAAGUUAAGUUUACUAUGUUCGCGGUGGAGAUAACUUGACUGCUCUUAAUUUGCUUGUGGUAGCCAGUGUCCAAUUAAAAUACUUGGGGACAAAAAUUAGGAUAUUAUGAACAUAGUCUUACAAUCACUAGAAUACAUAGCUAGUAAUAAGAUAAAAAGUUCAUCAUGUUCGAUUUUUCUUACCAAGUCUUACCCGCAGGAAAUGCAAAAAGCUUAUGAAUGUUUUGGUAAACAACAGCAACAAUAGGAGGAUGGCUGCCAACAUGAGCUAGCUUACUUAUG